GUGGGGAAUAUUGGACAAUGGGCGCAAGCCUGAUCCAGCCAUGCCGCGUGAGUGAUGAAGGCCUUAGGGUUGUAAAGCUCUUUCGUCAGGGAAGAUAAUGACGGUACCUGAAGAAGAAGCCCCGGCUAACUUCGUGCCAGCAGCCGCGGUAAUACGAAGGGGGCUAGCGUUGCUCGGAAUCACUGGGCGUAAAGCGCGCGUAGGCGGCUUUCUAAGUCAGGGGUGAAAUCCUGGAGCUCAACUCCAGAACUGCCUUUGAUACUGGAGAGCUUGAGUUCGGGAGAGGUGAGUGGAACUGCGAGUGUAGAGGUGAAAUUCGUAGAUAUUCGCAAGAACACCAGUGGCGAAGGCGGCUCACUGGCCCGAUACUGACGCUGAGGUGCGAAAGCGUGGGGAGCAAACAGGAUUAGAAACCCUUGUAGUCC
Molecule: ribosomal RNA, 425 nt
Filed under: uncultured bacterium
Lineage: Bacteria
Description: bacterial SSU rRNA
Rfam family: Bacterial small subunit ribosomal RNA
Source: RNAcentral